RNA transcript from Panicum hallii, 4143 nucleotides. RefSeq lists it as uncharacterized. The record is from RefSeq and is a predicted model, not a curated record. The transcript has 5 exons. NCBI's taxonomy places the organism in Eukaryota, Viridiplantae, Streptophyta, Magnoliopsida, Poales, Poaceae.
AUCCGUUGCGGCGCGGCCGGCGCCGGCCGGUCACCGGGGUGGUGCUCAUCCACGACGAGAGUCGAGAGGAGCGAAGAGAUAACGUCACGUGAGUCGUGUGAAAAUGGUCAGUAGGAUUAACCAACCGAUUUCCAGAUAACUUUAGUUGAGUAUCAAAUUCCGUCGUGUUAUGGCGAGGUCAUAUUCUGAGCAUAAACGCCACGUCAGCGCAAGAGGAGAACAUGAGGCCAUGACACGGUGAAGAAAUCAGCGUUGGCGGUGGGUGGGCCCCCAAAACAAACCAGGAGGUCAAUUUGAUUCUCUGGAUUCUGGGCCCAUGGCCUACGCUUCAUUGGUUCAAGCUCCUUCCUCGCCACGGGCAGCGGCCGGCAACCGACAUCCCCAAUCGGCCAAUCCCCACCCCGGAAUGGUCCGCGCCUCGCCUUCUCGAGCGUGCGACGGGGGCAUCCCAAUCCGCGUGUGGAGAUGGAGGCGGCGGCGGCCUCUGGCGAAACCCUAGAUGCCGCUUCCCCCUCCAACCUCGCCGUCGUCGUCCGCAGCGUGGCCGGCCGCAGCCGCAGAGCUGCGCCGCCCGCGGUCUCCGACACGGCAGUGCUCGACAGCUCGCUCCUCCUCGGCUCCCGGGGCCCCGUCGUCGUGUUCUUCAGAAAUUCCUACCAAAUUUGUGAUCUAUCAUGCUACAUUUUUGGCUGUCAUUGAACAUGAGGCGACUGGCAGAAUUGUGAUCUAUGCAGACGUAUGUUGGCAUCAACAGAAAUUCCUACCAAAGUUGUGAUCUAUCAUGCUAUAUUUUGGGCUAUCAUUGAACAAGAGUUUUGCUGAUUACUCUUUCUGCGGGAGUAUUGCUGAUUACCUAUAAUGUGGUAGCUGCUGAUGCUUACCCGAAAUUUGUCCAUCCAUAAUUUUGUCCUGUUAUUAUCUUAGUCUUAUGACUUUAGAUUCUUUAACCAUCAAAUAGUUUCUACCUUAUUUGUGGAUAUUUGGCAUUUACAAGUUCAAUUCAAUGGUUGCGCAAUAGCUAGCUCUUAUUAUGGCUGUAGGUUAGGCUGCUGAUGGGUCAAAACCCUGCUCAAGCCCGUAAAAAUUCUAUUAACAUGUAGCACUGUUCCAUUCUAAGAGCAUCUCCAAGAGAGUAGCUAUUUUUGGCUCUCUAUUUGACUCUCUAAAAAGAUUCCUCACCCUACUGAGUUGUUUACUCCAACAGACUCUUCUUUCCCACUCUCCAAAUCCCAACGGCUCCUUCAACUCUCCCCUUCACACACACACUGACACAUGGGUCCCAUGCGUCAUCCCCUUCCUUUCCCCUUCUUAUCCUCCCCGGCCACCCUCUCCUCUCCCGUUCUAGCCUCCCUUCUCUCCAUCCCCGGCCUCCCCUCCCCACCUCCAUCCCGGCCGGCCCCUCAUCUCCUUCGCUUGUCGUGCUUGCUCGACAGCGCUGCGGUGCAACCGCCGUGCCAGGGGACGGAGCGCGGCAUCCUGCGGCCACCGCUCCUCAUGCGGCGGGGCGAGGCGUCCAUCGGCAGCGUCACGCGGAGGCGAGGGACUCCAGCUGCUGCUGCUGGCUCACGUGGACGUUCUCCUGCAUCAAUUCGGCAGCGUGCACGUGGGCCGGGUUGGAGGAGAAGGCCGACGCGGAGACGUACGGCGACGACAAGGAGGAGGAGAAGGAUGUCACGGCGAGCGCGACGGCCAGGAACAGCAGCAGGCUGAGCGCUACUGAGAACGCCCACCGGCUGUCCAUCAACCAUGCCGCGCUGGCCGGCAGCUUCAGGGACGCCGAGAGUGCCCACCGGAAGUCCAGCGCCAUGGUCGGAGGCGGCCAGGGGGAGCAUGUCGAUGUACGCGUGCUCGCCGGCGGGGUGGGAGGGGGACUUGUCCCAGCGGGAGAUGCGGACGGGAGACGGCAUGCAGUAAGUGGGGCCGAUGCGCGGGAGAAGGCCGAUGGCGAGCUGCGCGAGCUCGGCAAAGAUGCAGAGCGAGGGGAUGGGAUCCCGAGCGAGAGAAAAUAGCGAGGAAGAAAGAGGCACUAUUGGAUGCGGUUUUGAUCUUUUUUUUCUAUAUUUACCGAUCCAGGAUGUUAUACAGAGGCUUUUGGAGUUGCUCUAAGUCAAAUGAUGGCCUAGGAGGCUAGCUAUAUAUUUAGAGUUAAGAGCAGAGCUUUUGAUGGGCUUUCCAAUUUCAGGCGCUAAAAGUGUGCUAACAGGGUGAAGCCGGCCUAAGUGUAUUGAAAUGUUUGUUAUAUGCUACCUGAGUUGUGUAGAAAGACCCAAUCUAAGGCCAGAUGAGUGCCUGGAUUGAGAUGAAUUUAUAUCUAGGGUAUUCGGUCCUUCGUAUUUUGGAGGUACUUUCAUUUUUGGAAGAACUGAUGAUUUGGAAGCAUUAUCGAGUGUGCAUACAUAUCAUGCACACAUUAGCCUCAGGGAUAAUAUUUUCCUACCAUUAUAGUGUGCUAGUUUCGAGGUCCUAUUUUAUCCAUAAUAGUAGUGAAUGGCAACUGGGGUUAGAGGUGGUGCAAGGGUUUCUAUUGGGUCAUUACCUGACAGAAGUUUAUUGCUCUGGUGUACUGUUGUUGGCUGCUACUCUCACCUACCAGUACAAAAAGACAGCCCAUGAGCAAACUUUAUUUCGACCCUGCCCUUAUAGAAAUGUUCAACAGACAGGAUUGGUCCAAGCCCAUUAACAGGCUCAUUAUACUACUUUUCUGUAUUAGCUUAAACUAAACAUGGUUUGAGACUAGCUAUGUAUCGCUGUAUAAUGGUCAUCUGGUUAUUCUGUUAUUUUUGUCAUCUACUGCAUAUCUGAGCCUUUUGAUUUCUCCGUCUAUUAAUUUAUCUGCUUGUUUGGAAGACUCGAAGAGCUAUCAUUGAAUUUUGGUUGUGCAUGGUAGAAAGUUAUGGGCGCUUUGAGGGCAGGUGUGACUAUAUUUGAGUGGCAAGCAAGUCUACCAAAUAAGUUAUAUUUCUGCUUUUCCAAGAAAGGUGCCAAAAAGUAAAAACUUACUUUCAUUACAGCAUAAUCAUUUAACUGAGUAAUUGAGUAUUGAUUGUCAUUUAAACAGUAUUGUUGUUGUUUUUGCACGGUUAAAGUUACUCCCUCUGUCCCAGUAUAUAAGGCGUAACCACCUCUAGUUCAGAGACCAAGGAACAUAUUUAAUUCUCUCUAUCAACGCUAGUAUUACUGCAUCGAUCUACGUGCGUAGAGAGAGAGCGCCUUAUACUAUGAGACUUGAGUAAAAAGUGGUUACGCCUUAUAUAUCAGACGGAGGGAGUAUGUGAACUGCCAAUGACAUCGUUUAGUCAGUUAAAAAUUAAUCCCAAAGCUACGAUACUAGUUACUGUACCUUGUAGUUUCAUUAUGAUGCACUGAUAGUUUUACUGGCAUGCUGAUACCCCAUUCAAUAUACGAAAAGGAGUAAAUUGCUCAUGUAUCUUGCAUUAUUCAAGUCACAACAAUUUAUGCUCUGCAUGACCACUGUACAUGGUAGUAUAUUCUAGUUAAUAGCACCACUAUUCAUUGCCAAUGAUUUGAGUUCCAUGUAUAUGGUUAUUUAUGCUUUUUUAGAGGAUAUGGUGAUUUAUGUUGGCCAAACGUACCAUAGGAUUUUCUGACCAAAGUUCGGAAUUAAUAGCUGAUAUAACUGUACUAUUUAAUGUACCAGAAAUAAGUUGUGGACAGUUGAAGUCUUAAAAGUGUGAGGAUCUGUAGGAAAUUUGAAAAGGUCUAAUACCAUUUUGGAUAUCAUCUGCCACAUGGUGCUCCUACAACCUUAUUGUCUUGUGUACUGGGCUAUGAUACUGAGAACAUUUGGCGCUGUAUGAUAUCAAGAUCCAGCUUCUGAAGGUUCAGAUUGUGAGUUUCGAAGGUGAUGAAACGCAACCUGUCUGAUGAAUCUGUCGUCCACAAAUUGUAUGAAUUGGUCUGGACGAGUUGUACCGAAGCGACGUCUUAUCAAUAGUAUGGGCAUUUGCAACGAAGCCAUAUGGAAUGGACAUUUGUAACGUGCAGAUACCAAGAUAUUUUGUUAUGCAGGCUCAACAGAAGAUAGUAAAAUGAUACAGCCGGCUCAAUGGUAGAGAGUAAAAUAGCUUAACGAACGCCUUGUAGUAUGGACAUUUGUAACGUUUAUACAACCAAUUUUGUCAA